CAGGGAACCUACUUAAAUUUAACUUUUAAACAAACAAUGAAUAAUAGUAAAUGUAAGUGUGUCCCAUGCAAUAUUUAGGACAUACUUAUACUAAAAAAUGACCUGUUUUUUAUCUGAAAUUCAAAUGAAGUA
This 132-nucleotide microRNA precursor is filed under the name Myotis lucifugus (little brown bat). Its description in RNAcentral is "miRNA (ENSMLUG00000020412.2)". The stretch from base 45 to 96 matches the Rfam family "mir-1302 microRNA precursor family". Lineage: Eukaryota; Metazoa; Chordata; Mammalia; Chiroptera; Vespertilionidae. The record is from RNAcentral.